CCAAUAGCGUAUAUUAAAGUUGUUGCAGUUAAAAAGCUCGUAGUUGAAUUUCGGGGUCGGUAGGUUGGUCAUGCCAUCGGUAUGCACUGGUCUCACCGAUUCCUCCCUCUUGUAGAAGCGUAAUGCCAUUAACUUGGUGUUGCGGGGAAACAGGACUGUUACUUUGAAAAAAUUAGAGUGUUUAAAGCAGGCUAACGCCUGAAUACAUUAGCAUGGAAUAAUGAAAUAGGACGUCGAUCCUAUUUUGUUGGUUUCUAGGGUUGACGUAAUGAUUAAUAGGGAUAGUUGGGGGCAUUAGUAUUCAAUUGUCAGAGGUGAAAUUCUUGGAUUUAUUGAAGACUAACUACUGCGAAAGCAUUUGCCAAGGAUGUUUUCAUUAAUCAAGAACGAAAGUUAGGGGAUCGAAGACGAUCAGAUACCGUCGUAGUCUUAACCAUAAACUAUGCCGACUAGGGAUCGGAUGAUGUUAAUUUUUUAAUGACUCAUUCGGCGCCUUACG
RNAcentral lists this ribosomal RNA (499 nucleotides) under uncultured Glomeromycotina. Its description in RNAcentral is "partial small subunit ribosomal RNA". It matches the Rfam family "Eukaryotic small subunit ribosomal RNA", at positions 591 to 1092 of the family's 1831-position model. Lineage: Eukaryota; Fungi; Glomeromycota. The record is from RNAcentral.